This is a long non-coding RNA of Coturnix japonica (Japanese quail), 2360 nucleotides long. RefSeq lists it as uncharacterized. Lineage: Eukaryota; Metazoa; Chordata; Aves; Galliformes; Phasianidae. The record is from RefSeq and is a predicted model, not a curated record.
UCAUUUGUGUGGCAUUUUUAGUAUCUAUCAGGUAAUCUAAUUUGUCCUAGAUGUUCCUAAAAUAAUUUGUCUGCAGUAAGGCUCGAAAGAGCAGGAUCUGGGAGAGACCCAGGAAGCACGAACAUUAACCCACGUUGCCUUCAGUGACCUGAAGCAUGGCACACCCAAAACUAUGCAUCCCAGCCCAGCCGAGAAGACUGAGGAUGAUGGUGUGAGGAUGAAAGGAGCAGUGGUGAGCAGGGGAGGGGGACAAGAAGCCCCAAGCACUGCUCUGGUGAAACUACCCCUGGCCGAGGACUAGUGGGAGGCUGCAGCCCUGUGCCACCCGACUGAGUCACUGUACUGCUCUGAUAAGCCACAGGCCUUAUCAUGCCUCAGCCUGCAAUCUGCCAAGCACUGAUAACAAAAUUUAAAUACUUCAGAAGAAUGUAGCAAGGCUUAAUUGGGGUUUGUAACAUGUUUUGGACUCCUUACGCGCUGUACCAGUGCAGCAUCUAAGCACCAGCUGGUUUCCAAGUCGAGGUAACAGCAAAUGAUACUCGCAGCAGUGACACAAUGCACCUGCAAUUUUCCAAGUGUGGACAUGAAGAAUGAUGCCUAACAAAGCAGAAACCUUCUUCUUCAAACCAUACUGUGUUAUUGGAAAAUAACCAUUUAGAUGAAGAAGUGGGAAGCAGACAAAUCCAAAGCUUCAUCUGUGGCACUCUGUCAUUUACCUCCAGGAUACCUUGUGAAUGCAGACCAGAUUGCAUGAAGACUAAUUCUGAUCCUUUGGAGAAAACUGUGGUUGGCUGUUCAUUUCCAAGCUAUGUCGGGAUUAAUAGCAAGGCAAAGAAGAAAAAAGAGCAAUUCCAUGGCAGAACAGUACACAUGUGGAGAGCCCAAAGCUGUCUGAGUGGAGCUGGGAGAGGGACAAGUCCUAGGAGAAGCAAAGGCAUCUCCAACAGCCUGGCAUGAAAGGAGUGAGGUAGAAGAAGAACACAUCUUUCUUGCAAUACUUGAUGUGAACAGAAGAGCUUGACAUCUAAGCUGGCAAAACCCUUAGUGCAGAGAACUGCUGGACUAGGAUCCUAGGCAUGGCCUUAUCAAAAAGAAUACUUAAAAAACAACAGUAAUAGUAAUUAAUUACACAGGGAUGGGGACAGAGAACUCUGAUAUAAUUUCAAUUACCUUUGCUUUAUUCAGUUUUUUCCUUUGCUCUUCUUUGCCUUAAGUUUUCUGUUUUCCCUUCUUCUUUUCACUCAUUGAAGCUGCAUUAGAGAAAGCAUUCUUUUCUAUGGAAUUCAGUGGGUUUUGGAUCAAAUAUCCUACAAUGCAUCUGCAGUUCAUUAAAUUUUAAACAGACCUCACAAUCUUUGUGCCAUAUUUUUAUUGUUCACACAAAGCAAAGACAACGUUUGGAAUUCAACCAAAGAAUCAAAGAAGGGCAAACACUCCACCUAUGUCAGACAUCACAUGCUGGAUCAGCUGCUCCAUCUUUUAGAAAGCUAAGUUCUCCUAAGCAGUUUUUCACUGCUGCUACAUAGUCACAUAGACUGACACAGUACAUUAAUUGCUGUCAGAACUGUGAUUGCAGAAAUGCAGUGAAUUCUUUACUUUCUUAGUAAGCUGCCCCUGAAAUAUAUAUAUAUAUAUAUACAUAUUAUAGAAUCUGAUGUAACUGAUUUAAUGAUGUUUUGCAGUAAUGUACAGAUUCUGUACAAUGACUUGCUUUUAGGAAUGUUUAAUUUUUGAACAGUGAUCACUAUGUUACUAUUAUUACUAAACCAGGCAAAGGAAACUCAUGGCUCACAGUCCCUUGCCCAUGAGUUGCCCCCCUCAGCAUUCUGAAAGCAUUGAGUUAAAAUUUAUGGCUCAAAAGCCAUUCAACUUUCAGCACAGAAGAGUUCUCUUCUGACUUAGCCUAAUAAGUAACUAUGAAGAAACAAAGAAGAGGGAAGAAUGACUCAGAAUUAGUUUCUCUGCAUAAACAAUCUGCGCUUCAAUGUGGCAAACACUAAGGUUACAAGACUGAAUCAAAGUGCCUUGCCCACGUAUAUAAGAUAUGGGCCAGCCUUCAAUCCAUGAGUCCAAAAGAGGCCGGAUGUGGAGGUGGAUAAUUAGUUCCUCAGCUGGUGCUUUGGCCAAAGACUCAUAAUCAAUGAUUGAAUUAAAACAAUAAAACAAGUACAGUGUUUACUUUUCCUUCAGAAUCAAUCAGACUAAAAUACCGCAAGCAUCGUCAGACACUAAUAUUGCCCAAAUCUCAGAGAAACAAAGUGCCCACAGGUGUUACUUGUGGGCUGCUCCUAUAUCUCUGCCAAGGAAAUCUCCCUGGUGGGGGUCAGGGACAGCUCCAGCUCAGUGGUUCUCAAGCUAGG